This 1731-nucleotide ribosomal RNA is filed under the name Salmonella enterica. RNAcentral describes it as "partial 23S ribosomal RNA". It matches the Rfam family "Bacterial large subunit ribosomal RNA", at positions 1089 to 2803 of the family's 2925-position model. Lineage: Bacteria; Pseudomonadati; Pseudomonadota; Gammaproteobacteria; Enterobacterales; Enterobacteriaceae. The record is from RNAcentral.
ACAGCCAGGAUGUUGGCUUAGAAGCAGCCAUCAUUUAAAGAAAGCGUAAUAGCUCACUGGUCGAGUCGGCCUGCGCGGAAGAUGUAACGGGGCUAAACCAUGCACCGAAGCUGCGGCAGCGACACUGUGUGUUGUUGGGUAGGGGAGCGUUCUGUAAGCCUGUGAAGGUGUGUCGUGAGGCAUGCUGGAGGUAUCAGAAGUGCGAAUGCUGACAUAAGUAACGAUAAAGCGGGUGAAAAGCCCGCUCGCCGGAAGACCAAGGGUUCCUGUCCAACGUUAAUCGGGGCAGGGUGAGUCGACCCCUAAGGCGAGGCCGAAAGGCGUAGUCGAUGGGAAACGGGUUAAUAUUCCCGUACUUGGUGUUACUGCGAAGGGGGGACGGAGAAGGCUAUGUUGGCCGGGCGACGGUUGUCCCGGUUUAAGCGUGUAGGUGUGUGUUCCAGGUAAAUCCGGUUCACUUUAACACUGAGGCGUGACGACGAGGCACUACGGUGCUGAAGCAACAAAUGCCCUGCUUCCAGGAAAAGCCUCUAAGCAUCAGGUAACAUCAAAUCGUACCCCAAACCGACACAGGUGGUCAGGUAGAGAAUACCAAGGCGCUUGAGAGAACUCGGGUGAAGGAACUAGGCAAAAUGGUGCCGUAACUUCGGGAGAAGGCACGCUGACACGUAGGUGAAGUGAUUUACUCAUGGAGCUGAAGUCAGUCGAAGAUACCAGCUGGCUGCAACUGUUUAUUAAAAACACAGCACUGUGCAAACACGAAAGUGGACGUAUACGGUGUGACGCCUGCCCGGUGCCGGAAGGUUAAUUGAUGGGGUCAGCGCAAGCGAAGCUCCUGAUCGAAGCCCCGGUAAACGGCGGCCGUAACUAUAACGGUCCUAAGGUAGCGAAAUUCCUUGUCGGGUAAGUUCCGACCUGCACGAAUGGCGUAAUGAUGGCCAGGCUGUCUCCACCCGAGACUCAGUGAAAUUGAACUCGCUGUGAAGAUGCAGUGUACCCGCGGCAAGACGGAAAGACCCCGUGAACCUUUACUAUAGCUUGACACUGAACAUUGAGCCUUGAUGUGUAGGAUAGGUGGGAGGCUUUGAAGUGUGGACGCCAGUCUGCAUGGAGCCGACCUUGAAAUACCACCCUUUAAUGUUUGAUGUUCUAACGUGGACCCGUUACCCGGGUUGCGGACAGUGUCUGGUGGGUAGUUUGACUGGGGCGGUCUCCUCCUAAAGAGUAACGGAGGAGCACGAAGGUUGGCUAAUCCUGGUCGGACAUCAGGAGGUUAGUGCAAUGGCAUAAGCCAGCUUGACUGCGAGCGUGACGGCGCGAGCAGGUGCGAAAGCAGGUCAUAGUGAUCCGGUGGUUCUGAAUGGAAGGGCCAUCGCUCAACGGAUAAAAGGUACUCCGGGGAUAACAGGCUGAUACCGCCCAAGAGUUCAUAUCGACGGCGGUGUUUGGCACCUCGAUGUCGGCUCAUCACAUCCUGGGGCUGAAGUAGGUCCCAAGGGUAUGGCUGUUCGCCAUUUAAAGUGGUACGCGAGCUGGGUUUAGAACGUCGUGAGACAGUUCGGUCCCUAUCUGCCGUGGGCGCUGGAGAACUGAGGGGGGCUGCUCCUAGUACGAGAGGACCGGAGUGGACGCAUCACUGGUGUUCGGGUUGUCAUGCCAAUGGCACUGCCCGGUAGCUAAAUGCGGAAGAGAUAAGUGCUGAAAGCAUCUAAGCACGAAACUUGCCCCGAG